This 363-nucleotide ribosomal RNA is filed under the name uncultured Mucispirillum sp. RNAcentral's name for it is "bacterial SSU rRNA". It matches the Rfam family "Bacterial small subunit ribosomal RNA", at positions 355 to 710 of the family's 1533-position model. Lineage: Bacteria; Pseudomonadati; Deferribacterota; Deferribacteres; Deferribacterales; Mucispirillaceae. The record is from RNAcentral.
UGGGGAAUUUUGCGCAAUGCUCGGGAGAGUGACGCAGCGACGCCGCGUGAAUGAUGAAGGCCUUCGGGUCGUAAAGUUCUUUCGACAGGGAAGAAAGGAUAUAUGAGUAACUGUAUAUAUUUUGACGGUACCUGUAUAAGCAGCCCCGGCUAACUCCGUGCCAGCAGCCGCGGUAAUACGGAGGGGGCGAGCGUUGUUCGGAGUGACUGGGCGUAAAGAGCACGUAGGCGGUGUUGUAAGUCAUUAGUCAAAGGCUAGAGCUCAACUUUAGUAAGGCUAGUGAUACUAUAAUACUAGAGUAUCAGAGAGGAUUGCAGAAUUCCUGGUGUAGCGGUGAAAUGCGUAGAUAUCAGGAGGAAUACC